Molecule: ribosomal RNA, 254 nt
Filed under: uncultured bacterium
Lineage: Bacteria
Description: partial 16S ribosomal RNA
Rfam family: Bacterial small subunit ribosomal RNA
Source: RNAcentral
UACGUAGGGGGCAAGCGUUGUCCGGAUUUAUUGGGCGUAAAGAGCUCGUAGGCGGCUUGUCGUGUCGACUGUGAAAACCCGUGGCUCAACCAUGUGGUCUGCAGUCGAUACGGGCAGGCUAGAAUUCGGUAGGGGAGACUGGAAUUCCUGGUGUAGCGGUGAAAUGCGCAGAUAUCAGGAGGAACACCGGUGGCGAAGGCGGGUCUCUGGGCCGAUAUUGACGCUGAGGAGCGAAAGCGUGGGGAGCGAACAGG